This is a long non-coding RNA of Clupea harengus (Atlantic herring), 678 nucleotides long. RefSeq lists it as uncharacterized. The transcript has 5 exons. NCBI's taxonomy places the organism in Eukaryota, Metazoa, Chordata, Actinopteri, Clupeiformes, Clupeidae. The record is from RefSeq and is a predicted model, not a curated record.
CUUGUCCCUGAUUGAACACCAUUCUCUGGUGGAGUCUCCAUUCAUCUGUGGUAUUCAAAAUGACCAUCACCAUCAACAUGUGUCCAUAGUGGAUGAUGUGUGUUUUCCUUUAUUUCUGUCUGUCCAUGCAGGUACAACAUCCACAGAUACUGUGUGUGGUGACUGUGUAGGCGACACAUACUCAGAUGGAUCAUUCACAUCCUGCAGACCACACACACGGUGUGAGUUGAUUGGACUUGUUGUCCUAAGAGAAGGAUCAUCUUCUUAUGACACUUAUUGUGGUCAAAAACCAAACACUGUUGCCAUUGUAGCUGGUAUCACAGCUUGUAUCAUAGUUGCAGUCCUAGCUGCUGCAUGUGGGGCUGUGGUAUUUAUGUAUAAUAGAAGGACGAGGAAAAGAAAAGCUUCACAAGAAAGAAGUUUGCAAGGCGACACACAAGAGGGGUCAGACCAUACUGUAAAAGAGGAACAAAGUGAAUUAUUUGUUGGCAGUGAGGAUACAGCAGCAGUCACGUGAUAACAAUGGUGAUGUCCCGUUUUCCUUCUGGACCAACUGACCACAGUGCCACCUCUCUAUUACUGCUGUGCUACACCACCUCACUACUGCAGAGACUGCUGCCCUGAGAUGCCAGAGUGGGGACCUGCAUACCAUGAUCAGAACACCACUUGCUAGAUGAG